GGUCUAAUAGUUUAAUAAAAACUUUAAAUUGCAAAUUUAAGAAUGAUUUCUAUCUAAGACUU
RNAcentral lists this transfer RNA (62 nucleotides) under Paramacrosteles nigromaculatus. Its description in RNAcentral is "tRNA-Cys". RNAcentral also lists the same sequence under 1 other name. The record is from RNAcentral. Lineage: Eukaryota; Metazoa; Arthropoda; Insecta; Hemiptera; Cicadellidae.